This 831-nucleotide long non-coding RNA is filed under the name Rattus norvegicus (Norway rat). Its description in RNAcentral is "long non-coding RNA NONRATT027949". The record is from RNAcentral. Lineage: Eukaryota; Metazoa; Chordata; Mammalia; Rodentia; Muridae.
AGGGAAAGGUUCCUUGAUAGUUGGGGAAUCCCAAGUCCACUGGCCUUUGGAAAAAGAGAGAUGGGGAUGAAACAGAAGGAAGAGGGCCUCCGGGAAGAAAAUUAGGGACUGUCUAUGAUAUCCAGGGAUUUUGCAAAGACAGUGAGGAUUGUCUGUGAUUACUGAUAGAGCCCCAAGCAGUUGGCUUCUCUAACAGUCUUCUGUGUCCCUUAGUGAAGGCAGAUGUGCAGUGAAGAGGUUAAACACCAAUCCCUGGCUGCUACUGCGGUCUUGAAAUGAUUGGAUUUGUCAAAAGAAUGGAACUUUCCUUGUUGGGAAGUGGGCACAAAGACGCAAACCCGGGGCUUACCCCACCGGACGAUGCAUGGAAUGUGAACACAGGUUAAUUAUUUAAAAAAUGUGUAUCAGAUGUUAUUUAAAUGAUAAUAUAUGCAAUGAUUUUUUCCCAUAAUUUAUCGAAGCCUGUGAGAUGCACUGAAUUUCCUUUGUCACGUAGUUUUGAUUUUGCAGCCUUCUGCAUUGCACACGUGAGCCGGGCAUUAGGGCAAGCUUGAGAGCUCUCGACUACAUUUUUAAACAGUGUUCUGUGAAGGCCUGUGAGUGUCAUGAUAAAACUGUGAAUGACUACUUAGGGACUCUGAUUAGACUAUUGGUUAGGCUCCAGUGGCUUGUAUAGGUCUCCAAUUCCUACUUACUUUGAUGUAUUCCACAAAACCCACCUUGGGGUUUUUUUUUUUUUUUUUUUUUUUUUUUUCUUUUUUUUCCUUUUAAUCUGAUUCUUUCCUCUCUACUUAUUUAAGUUGCCACUAAAAUAAAUGUGCCUUUUGAAGC